CAGUAGCCGCGGGAAUACGUAGGGUGCAAGCGUUAAUCGGAAUUACUGGGCGUAAAGCGUGCGCAGGCGGUUAUAUAAGACAGAUGUGAAAUCCCCGGGCUCAACCUGGGAACUGCAUUUGUGACUGUAUAGCUAGAGUACGGCAGAGGGGGAUGGAAUUCCGCGUGUAGCAGUGAAAUGCGUAGAUAUGCGGAGGAACACCGAUGGCGAAGGCAAUCCCCUGGGCCUGUACUGACGCUCAUGCACGAAAGCGUGGGGAACAAACAGGAUUAGAUACCCCUGUAGUCCCUGUCUCUUAUAA
Molecule: ribosomal RNA, 301 nt
Filed under: uncultured bacterium
Lineage: Bacteria
Description: partial 16S ribosomal RNA
Rfam family: Bacterial small subunit ribosomal RNA
Source: RNAcentral